AGUGAACGCUGGCGGUAGGCCUAACACAUGCCAGUCGAACGGCAGCACAGUAAGAGCUUGCUCUUACGGGUGGCGAGUGGCGGACGGGUGAGGAAUACAUCGGAAUCUACUUUUUCGUGGGGGAUAACGUAGGGAAACUUACGCUAAUACCGCAUACGACCUACGGGUGAAAGCAGGGGAUCUUCGGACCUUGCGCGAUUGAAUGGGCCGAUGUCGGAUUAGCUAGUUGGCGGGGUAAAGGCCCACCAAGGCGACGAUCCGUAGCUGGUCUGAGAGGAUGAUCAGCCACACUGGAACUGAGACACGGUCCAGACUCCUACGGGAGGCAGCAGUGGGGAAUAUUGGACAAUGGGCGCAAGCCUGAUCCAGCCAUACCGCGUGGGUGAAGAAGGCCUUCGGGUUGUAAAGCCCUUUUGUUGGGAAAGAAAAGUAGCAGGUUAAUACCCCGCUGUUCUGACGGUACCCAAAGAAUAAGCACCGGCUAACUUCGUG
RNAcentral lists this ribosomal RNA (492 nucleotides) under uncultured bacterium. RNAcentral describes it as "partial 16S ribosomal RNA". It matches the Rfam family "Bacterial small subunit ribosomal RNA", at positions 29 to 507 of the family's 1533-position model. The record is from RNAcentral.